This 253-nucleotide ribosomal RNA is filed under the name uncultured bacterium. Its description in RNAcentral is "partial 16S ribosomal RNA". It matches the Rfam family "Bacterial small subunit ribosomal RNA", at positions 524 to 776 of the family's 1533-position model. The record is from RNAcentral.
UACGGGGGGUGCGAGCGUUGUCCGGAAUCACUGGGCGUAAAGGGCGCGUAGGCGGCUUGAUAAGCGUGCGGUGAAAGCCCGGGGCUCAACCCCGGGUCGGCCGUGCGAACUGUCGAGCUGGAGCACUGUAGAGGCAGGUGGAAUUCCGGGUGUAGCGGUGGAAUGCGUAGAGAUCCGGAAGAACACCGGUGGCGAAGGCGGCCUGCUGGGCAGUGGAUGACGCUGAGGCGCGACAGCGUGGGGAGCAAACAGG